AGAGUUUGAUCCUGGCUCAGGACGAACGCUGGCGGNNNNNUUAACACAUGCAAGUCGAACGAGGUCCUCCUUCGGGAGAAGACCUAGUGGCGAACGGGUGAGUAACACGUGAGCAACCUGCCCCGAAGACUGGGAUAACAGCGGGAAACCGCUGCUAAUACCGGAUAUCCCCAUCGGACCACAUGGCCUGAUGAGGAAAUGAAUUUCGCUUCGGGAGGGGCUCGCGGCCUAUCAGCUUGUUGGUGGGGUAACGGCCCACCAAGGCGACGACGGGUAGCUGGUCUGAGAGGACGAUCAGCCACACUGGGACUGAGACACGGCCCAGACUCCUACGGGAGGCAGCAGUGGGGAAUAUUGCGCAAUGGGCGAAAGCCUGACGCAGCAACGCCGCGUGAGGGAUGAAUGCCUUCGGGUUGUAAACCUCUUUCGAGCAGGGACGAUAAUGACGGUACCUGCAGAAGAAGCUCCGGCCACUACGUGCCAGCAGCCGCGGUAAUACGUAGGGAGCGAGCGUUGUCCGGAUUCAUUGGGCGUAAAGAGCUCGUAGGCGGCUUGAUAAGUCGGAUGUGAAACCUCCAGGCUCAACCUGGAGUCGCCAUCCGAUACUGUCAUGGCUAGAGUCCGGUAGGGGCCCACGGAACUCCUGGUGUAGCGGUGAAAUGCGCAGAUAUCAGGAAGAACACCGGUGGCGAAGGCGGUGGGCUGGGCCGGCACUGACGCUGAGGAGCGAAAGCGUGGGGAGCGAACAGGAUUAGAUACCCUAGUAGUCC
RNAcentral lists this ribosomal RNA (770 nucleotides) under uncultured bacterium. RNAcentral's name for it is "bacterial SSU rRNA". It matches the Rfam family "Bacterial small subunit ribosomal RNA", at positions 8 to 796 of the family's 1533-position model. The record is from RNAcentral.